ACAAUGCCAAGGCGCUCCAUGGCUGCAAACUCUUCCCGAGCGACGGACAGUUUCGCGGGGUCGAGGCGGCGCGCGUGCGCGAACACCGGGGGCUCGACCGUGGGAAUAUAAUGCUCAACCCCAUGCUUCGUUACCGUGCUAGAGAAAUUAGGGACAGACAGCGAUGGAAACUCUAAAAGCAAACGCUGAAAAGCAUCCCCGGAGGUCACUACAUUAGCCCGAAUCAGGGGCUCGGCGGCCCGAGUAAAACAGGGUAGCGAAGAAAACGAGAGAGCAUCUAUUAAACGUCUGUUAGCAACAUCGACAAGUAGUCCAUGAGCACAUGUCACGGGGUGGAGAGAGACAAGUUACCUAGGUUUUUUGUUGUGCAUGUUUUUGUUGUGUUUUAUCUUUUUAAUGUUUUAAUAUUGUACAUUGGUGUCACGGGAACCCACAAGAGCCUGGAGUGACACGGAGGCUUAAGAGAUGAGGUCUGAGAGGCCUGACGUGAGGCUUCAGAGUGAAGUCACAGAGGCGUGACACAUGGGGCUCGAGAGACGGGCCGGAGUGUGUGUGUCAGUCCUGUAGUCUUGCACUCGAGGAGUCUGGCAGUCUUGGAGCCUUGACUGUUGGAGCUUGGUGUUCCAGGGGAGGACGGACAGCACCAGCGACUAGGGACGCGGAGCGAACAGUCGGACGGCAGUAGCAACAAGAGCCCAGCUUGUGCACUGCGGGAGAGCAGAGGCGGCGAGACAGCUGGUGGCGAGACAGCUCCGGCGGGCGGAGUUGAGAGCUCUGCCCACCCGGGGUAAGUCUUCGACUUAUUUCCUUUUUACGAAUGAAAACUGCCUGAAAAGAAUAGUGACUGCCGCUCCCUCCCUUUCUUCAGCGUACCGGGACGCGGAAUGCAGGGAGGAAGGCGAGGACUCCGCUGGGUUUCCCUUUUACACCAUUUCGCUGGAUUUCUUAGUUCUUUGUGACUUUUAUACCGUGGUGGAUGCCACUGGACUUUUAAUGUUGUGUUUUAUUGAUUUUUAUUGUGUUAC
This is a long non-coding RNA of Astatotilapia calliptera (eastern happy), 1025 nucleotides long. The record is from Ensembl. NCBI's taxonomy places the organism in Eukaryota, Metazoa, Chordata, Actinopteri, Cichliformes, Cichlidae.